Long non-coding RNA from Etheostoma cragini (Arkansas darter), 663 nucleotides. RefSeq lists it as uncharacterized. The record is from RefSeq and is a predicted model, not a curated record. Lineage: Eukaryota; Metazoa; Chordata; Actinopteri; Perciformes; Percidae. The transcript is spliced from 2 exons.
CUUUCAUUAUGCAGCUUUCUCAGAGCUGGCAAGGCAUUCAUAAUAAUGAAAUAAUCUUUGUGUUUGGAAACAGCAAAACAGAAGACAGGGAGGCAGACAGAUGUUUUUCAGGGAAAAUUAUAGACUGUUAGGCAAAAUACAGAACAGUCUUUCACACUGCUUGUUGAGUGUCUCUUUGAAUGCAUCAUCCCAUCACCAUUGCCCAGAGAUGAGCUUUACUUAGGUCAAAUCUCCAUCCCCUUCACAGACCACUGUAUGAUUCACUUGUCAUCCCAUGACCAGCAGUAAACAGCAAGACAAGUUUGUUUCACGAUACAGAGUUUUAAUCAAUAUUAGAAAACAAAAUGCAGUCAGGAGCUUAAAAAAUAACCUUUGGGCUUUUUAACACUCACUAGGGUGGGUAUGGGAGUCCCAAUAGAAAGAACAAGUUUUCCUUGUUGAACAUGUCAGUUGUGAGACAAAGUACAUUUCACUUCAAAAGUAGUUAAGAAAUUAGGGAAUGACAAAACUAUACAGGACGCUGACUAGACUUUUCUCUAUGAAGUAGGUGUAUCAUACAAACAUCAGAUACUCAUUGACAGUCAGUUACUGACAAUGCUUAAGUAAACAUGAUGUAAUAUUGAUUUACAAUUACAAAUUCCAAUGGCCCCUGUUGAUGAACCA